This 272-nucleotide ribosomal RNA is filed under the name Escherichia coli. RNAcentral describes it as "partial 16S ribosomal RNA". It matches the Rfam family "Bacterial small subunit ribosomal RNA", at positions 1 to 269 of the family's 1533-position model. Lineage: Bacteria; Pseudomonadati; Pseudomonadota; Gammaproteobacteria; Enterobacterales; Enterobacteriaceae. The record is from RNAcentral.
AAAUUGAAGAGUUUGAUCAUGGCUCAGAUUGAACGCUGGCGGCAGGCCUAACACAUGCAAGUCGAACGGUAACAGGAAGAAGCUUGCUUCUUUGCUGACGAGUGGCGGACGGGUGAGUAAUGUCUGGGAAACUGCCUGAUGGAGGGGGAUAACUACUAGAAACGGUAGCUAAUACCGCAUAACGUCGCAAGACCAAAGAGGGGGACCUUCGGGCCUCUUGCCAUCGGAUGUGCCCAGAUGGGAUUAGCUAGUAGGUGGGGUAACGGCUCACC